This 750-nucleotide ribosomal RNA is filed under the name Salmonella enterica. RNAcentral describes it as "partial 23S ribosomal RNA". It matches the Rfam family "Bacterial large subunit ribosomal RNA", at positions 2184 to 2925 of the family's 2925-position model. Lineage: Bacteria; Pseudomonadati; Pseudomonadota; Gammaproteobacteria; Enterobacterales; Enterobacteriaceae. The record is from RNAcentral. RNAcentral also lists the same sequence under 1 other name.
AGCCGACCUUGAAAUACCACCCUUUAAUGUUUGAUGUUCUAACGUGGACCCGUAAUCCGGGUUGCGGACAGUGUCUGGUGGGUAGUUUGACUGGGGCGGUCUCCUCCUAAAGAGUAACGGAGGAGCACGAAGGUUGGCUAAUCCUGGUCGGACAUCAGGAGGUUAGUGCAAUGGCAUAAGCCAGCUUGACUGCGAGCGUGACGGCGCGAGCAGGUGCGAAAGCAGGUCAUAGUGAUCCGGUGGUUCUGAAUGGAAGGGCCAUCGCUCAACGGAUAAAAGGUACUCCGGGGAUAACAGGCUGAUACCGCCCAAGAGUUCAUAUCGACGGCGGUGUUUGGCACCUCGAUGUCGGCUCAUCACAUCCUGGGGCUGAAGUAGGUCCCAAGGGUAUGGCUGUUCGCCAUUUAAAGUGGUACGCGAGCUGGGUUUAGAACGUCGUGAGACAGUUCGGUCCCUAUCUGCCGUGGGCGCUGGAGAACUGAGGGGGGCUGCUCCUAGUACGAGAGGACCGGAGUGGACGCAUCACUGGUGUUCGGGUUGUCAUGCCAAUGGCACUGCCCGGUAGCUAAAUGCGGAAGAGAUAAGUGCUGAAAGCAUCUAAGCACGAAACUUGCCCCGAGAUGAGUUCUCCCUGAGACUUAGAGUCUCCUGAAGGAACGUUGAAGACGACGACGUUGAUAGGCCGGGUGUGUAAGCGCAGCGAUGCGUUGAGCUAACCGGUACUAAUGAACCGUGAGGCUUAACCUUACA